RNAcentral lists this ribosomal RNA (492 nucleotides) under uncultured bacterium. Its description in RNAcentral is "partial 16S ribosomal RNA". It matches the Rfam family "Bacterial small subunit ribosomal RNA", at positions 29 to 507 of the family's 1533-position model. The record is from RNAcentral.
AGUGAACGCUGGCGGUAGGCCUAACACAUGCAAGUCGAACGGCAGCACAGUAAGAGCUUGCUCUUACGGGUGGCGAGUGGCGGACGAGUGAGGAAUACAUCGGAAUCUACUUUUUCGUGGGGGAUAACGUAGGGAAACUUACGCUAAUACCGCAUACGACCUACGGGUGAAAGCAGGGGAUCUUCGGACCUUGCGCGAUUGAAUGAGCCGAUGUCGGAUUAGCUAGUUGGCGGGGUAAAGGCCCACCAAGGCGACGAUCCGUAGCUGGUCUGAGAGGAUGAUCAGCCACACUGGAACUGAGACACGGUCCAGACUCCUACGGGAGGCAGCAGUGGGGAAUAUUGGACAAUGGGCGCAAGCCUGAUCCAGCCAUACCGCGUGGGUGAAGAAGGCCUUCGGGUUGUAAAGCCCUUUUGUUGGGAAAGAAAAGCAGCAGGUUAAUACCCCGCUGUUCUGACGGUACCCAAAGAAUAAGCACCGGCUAACUUCGUA